RNAcentral lists this ribosomal RNA (446 nucleotides) under uncultured bacterium. RNAcentral's name for it is "SSU rRNA". It matches the Rfam family "Bacterial small subunit ribosomal RNA", at positions 26 to 518 of the family's 1533-position model. The record is from RNAcentral.
AGAACGAACGCUGGCGGCAGGCCUCAAACAUGCAAGUCUAGGGGGUGUAGCAAUACAUCACCGGCGGACGGGUGCGUAACACGUGGGAAUGUACCUACUGGUUCGGAACAACGCAGGGAAACUUGCGCUAAUACCGAAUAAGCCCGAAAGGGGAAGAUUUAUCGCCAGUAGAUCAGCCCGCGUAGGAUUAGCUAGUUGGUGGGGUAAUGGCCCACCAAGGCUCCGAUCCUUAGCUGUUCUGAGAGGAAGAUCAGCCACACUGGGACUGAGACACGGCCCAGACUCCUACGGGAGGCAGCAGUUGGGAAUCUUGGACAAUGGGGAAACCCUGAUCCAGCCAUGCCGCGUGAGUGAUGAAGGCCUUCGGGUUGUAAACUGCUUUUAUAUGUGAAGAUUAUGACGGUAGCAUAUGAAUAAGGAUCGGCUAACUCCGUGCCAGCAGCCGC